Molecule: signal recognition particle RNA, 91 nt
Filed under: Candidatus Babelota bacterium
Lineage: Bacteria
Description: Candidatus Dependentiae bacterium signal recognition particle sRNA small type
Rfam family: Bacterial small signal recognition particle RNA
About the family: The signal recognition particle (SRP) is a universally conserved ribonucleoprotein involved in the co-translational targeting of proteins to membranes. Archaeal SRP consists of a 7S RNA and homologues of the eukaryotic SRP19 and SRP54 proteins.
Source: RNAcentral
UUUUGAGAGUGGUGAGGCGCUUAUUGUGCACCCUGUCAGAUCCGGAAGGAAGCAGCAGACGCAGUGUUGACUUGUGCUGCUCUCAUAAUUU